ACCCUUGUGCGUCACACUGGUUAGUAUUCCUGCCUGUCACGCGGGUGACCCGGGUUCGAUCCCCGGCAACGGAG
Molecule: transfer RNA, 74 nt
Filed under: Salvia splendens (bonfire salvia)
Lineage: Eukaryota; Viridiplantae; Streptophyta; Magnoliopsida; Lamiales; Lamiaceae
Description: tRNA-Asp
Source: RNAcentral